Molecule: ribosomal RNA, 465 nt
Filed under: Vreelandella stevensii
Lineage: Bacteria; Pseudomonadati; Pseudomonadota; Gammaproteobacteria; Oceanospirillales; Halomonadaceae
Description: partial 16S ribosomal RNA
Rfam family: Bacterial small subunit ribosomal RNA
Source: RNAcentral
CCUACGGGGGGCUGCAGUGGGGAAUAUUGGACAAUGGGGGCAACCCUGAUCCAGCCAUGCCGCGUGUGUGAAGAAGGCCCUCGGGUUGUAAAGCACUUUCAGUGAGGAAGAACGCCUGGUGGUUAAUACCCAUCAGGAAAGACAUCACUCACAGAAGAAGCACCGGCUAACUCCGUGCCAGCAGCCGCGGUAAUACGGAGGGUGCGAGCGUUAACCGGAAUUACUGGGCGUAAAGCGCGCGUAGGUGGCUUGAUAAGCCGGUUGUGAAAGCCCCGGGCUCAACCUGGGAACGGCAUCCGGAACUGUCAAGCUAGAGUGCAGGAGAGGAAGGUAGAAUUCCCGGUGUAGCGGUGAAAUGCGUAGAGAUCGGGAGGAAUACCAGUGGCGAAGGCGGCCUUCUGGACUGACACUGACACUGAGGUGCGAAAGCGUGGGUAGCAAACAGGAUUAGAUACCCCAGUAGUC